UUUGCCGUCAAGUCGUCAAACACGUCAUCCUCUGCUCAAACCCCACCUCACCAGCUCGCUCCCGACUUCAGCUGAAAGUCAUCGUCGUUCCGCGCGUCAGCAAGAAAUCCCAAGAAUCGGGUGAAGACGAAGCUAGCAGCGCGAUAUUCCCCAAGCGCUCGACAAAUUGCCUGGAUCAGAAAAUCGCUACCGAUCUCGCGGAUUCGUGUCAGCUGUGGAAAUGGUAAGCUGAUAAAUUAUCCAGAAUAGUUCGAUCAAUGAAUAAAUUAAUGUGCUAGUGUGAUGCUUAUUAAGGUGCUCGAUAAAUUGCGUAAGUCACGAAACUCUCGUCGACUUCGCAGUUCUUGCGAUUAUCGAGCCAGGUUCAGUUAUAGCGAGUUAUUUCGCUAUUCCGGUCAAUUAGCUAAAUUAAUAUACCGAGUAGAAUAUUAGUAGGCAUGUGUGAUAAAGAAAUGUUUGAUUAAUUGUGGACAUGUAAAAUAUGUGAGGAGUAAAAUAAAAUUAAAAUAGUUCUUUGUGAAUGAUGUAGUGUCAUUUAUAAAAUGAGGGAUAAGUUUAGAAUUUAAUUAAUUAAUUGAUAAGUUGUGAUUAAGCUAAUUGUAUUUCAUGUGUAUAGUUUGUGGUUGGUGAUGUUUGCGUUAGAUUCGAGAAGCGUAAUUAUUGCGCUUAAUUGUAGAUUAUUAGUGUCUCCUUAUGAAAUUGUUCAACGUCUCACCGCUAGGUGUUUAAUUCGCUAUCGCGAGCACUAUCUAGGUUUGCGAUAUUUAUGUUUAUAUGCAUUCAUGUGCAUAAUGCAUCUCAUUCAGGUACGUGAAUUAACCACGCGAUGCGGAGAACCAGAACUGAGUCGACCACAAGAUGGUGCUGAUGAACGGAACUGGAGAUGGACAGACGAAGCAAGUAUCUGGACAAAGGAUGGUCGUCAAGUGAUCGUCGUCUAACAAACACUAACGUAGUGUUUAUUCCAGGCAAGCCCCGGUGCAUGAAACCCCUUCCUUGUGUUUUUAAAUAAUUUCUGCACACUUUAAGUCUAGUGAAAUUUGCAUUAGGUUUAUAGGAGUUGCUUGGAACCUUUUGAUGCAUUGCCUACCUUGAUAUCCAUACCUUUAUAGAUACUUCUGGUGAAGUAUCAAAAUAUGAUUUACAAAAAUGCUUAGCUCUGCUUAGAUCUUGUGGGUAGAAGUUGUCUUUCGCAAUAAGGCCUAGCUCAGGGGUUAUCCUGAGGAAAGAUAGCUUCUACAUGCAAGAAUAUUUUCAUUGGGAGCGUGGUGGAAUCUUACUGCAAAGUUCCCUAUAAUGCUCUUUUCGUCCUAAGGAAAACAAACAAUCCUAAGGAUCAAAGUACUUAAAUCGGGACUUGGGCUAGGAACAGGUGAUGUUCUACCCAGGUUGAUUAAGGAUUGGAUGCGUAUGUAGGCUUGAUGAUCGAGGACCCUUUAACUGGUCACAUGCCUCGUCAUGGGUAAGCUUUGUCUCAGGCAGACUAAGGCCAGAAUAAGAUAACACGGAAUGGGCGUGGAGCGGUGGCGAGAGUAGUGUGUACCCUCCGUGGCAAGAGGCUGGACGGUGGUGUAUCUGUGCUCUCGGUUGGCGUGAACCUGAUCUGGUCUUAAGAACCCCGGUGGCGGGUUGACAUAUGCAAGGGUUAAGUGCUACAUAUGUCGUGUGAUCGGAGAUCCUCAGCUAAGUAUAAUCGAUUCGGAUCGCCGUACCUUCGCGGUUAUGAAGACUUGGUCACUGCCCUACAACCUAAGUCAGGAUGUGAACCUCAUGAAUAAAAAUGAUGUUGUAUUGAUGAGAUGGUGAAAUUAGACCAGAUGCAAACAGAGUCUAUUGAUAUUUAAUCUGGCGUUAAAAUAUUGAAAGUAAGGACUCACUUUAGUAAGCUAUUUCUGCAAAAGUAUCUAAGUUGAUUCUUGCUAAAGCCUCUCCUUGAUUCCCAAAUCCAGCAUAUCCUUGAGAGUCUUUUCUUUAGUCGGGUAAGUCUUGCUGAGUAAUUCCAUACUCAGGGUUUUAUUCCCUGUUGUUUUUCAGGUUUUAACUUUGUGCUGUUGUUGAUGGUGUUAAGUGCCGGUGGGCUCGACCUUCUUAUAAGUCUAAGUAACUCUUCUAUACUUCUUAUUGAGGAUGGUCACUUGAGCUAGCAUAUAUUUCAAACUUAUACUUUUGUAAUCACUCCGAUAAAAUAAUAUAAAACUUUUGUAACCUGUAAAAUUUGGUAACAAGAUUUCCGCUGCAAAAAUGUUGGUGUGUGUGAUUUGUGUUACUUAAUCUUGCGGUCCUGGUUGUAAGUGGUUUAUCCGAUGUCCUUGGGCAAUCGGACGGAUCCUAUUAAGUUAUCUGGUGCACAUGCAUAGCCGUCUGAGGUCUUUGAGACAAGGACAGGUGCAUGUGGGCCCAAUAACUUGGGAGGUUCUGCCACAGCUGGUAUCGGAGCAGGAUUAAGUAUAUACAGUCACAUACGUAUUUUCAAAACAAAAGUUUUGGUUUUAGAAAACCUAUUUUCAAUUAAACACAUUGUUUGGCUUUGAAAAACAAUUUUGAAAAAAAAACUAUAAUGCUAGCGACAUCCUUUGUUAAGCCCUAAACUAAGGACUAUCAGGUGGCUUUGUUGAAAACCACUAACCCAUAACCGGGGGUAUUGCAUACAUGUGUAUUAUUAUUUUUAAGGCCAUUCAGUUCUGAAUGGAUCGACGCUCAGGUAAGGUGAGAUGUGAGAGCAUGACCGAAGAAUCGUCGGUCUAGGGAAGAGUGUAAAAGCGCUUGAUUAUAUACAUGUUCUAUAUAUGUAUAUAUGAAAGCUGCGAUGUGGAGUAUUUACUUUUCCGGGAAUUCAGUACCCCAUGGAUGUGUAUGGGUAUACAGACAUGGGAAUACUGAGAAAUGUAUUGUACAUGUAACGACGCACCUACGCUUAGGUAAGAAGGUGAGUUACCAUAAUGAGUUGCCCUAUGGUUAAAGUGUGGCAACGGCGCCUAUGCGUAGCUCGGCGCUUAAUGAUGAGCUGGCCUCCAUAUAGCAAUAUAUGGAGUAUAAACUGUGAUAAACUGUCAUGUGUGAAUUGCAUCAUUGGGAAAUUGGGCUGUGAUGGAUUUUCUGCAGGUACACUAACCUCGAAAACGUAUGUGUAGCCGACGACUAGCAAAAUACCGUGAGAGUCGUAAGUAUGCCACCGAGAUAGAAUGCUAUUGCCAUAUUAAAUUGGCAAAAAAAUUGUGAGGACGUAUAGGACGAGCAUGCAUCCUGAAUGUUGCAUCAUGUUUGUCACCUAUACACCCAAAAUGCUUCUCUCAUCCUUAUUCCAGUAACCAUUGAUUGUAAAUAAUGUGGCGUAAUGCUGUAUUAUGGACUCAAAAAAAGUAAGAUGUCCUCCAUUCUUUAGGUAACCUGUUAAGGUCGUAUAUGGUGUUUGCUCUUGUACUUGAUGUGCCGAUAGAAAGUUAGAGACUUGUUUGCCUAAACCCAAAACUAGGCCAUGUUCUUAUUUAGUGAACCAUAACCCAAAAUUGAUUUUUUCGUCAUCACUCCAUGACCCAACUCAUGCAAAUAAAUGCUUAGAUAACUUCGUUUGGACAUAAAGUGUACCCAGACUUAAAACAAGAAUCUCGAGUCAUAUCUCCUUCCAAAACCAUUCCCUUGUUCGGUUGGUGCAAGUUGUUAUCUCUAUUCUAUUUUGUCUCUCCUGGAGAAUUGCAUUGUUGAUUUUAUCAACCCAACCUAGGAAAGACAUGUCCGAUUAUUUUCUUGAGUUUGAUGCCUUUGGUUUCCUCAUAUCUAUCGAAGGCAUACCAACUUCAUCUCGUGAUUGUUUUCCCUCCGUGUCUAAUCAGAUACUAAUCCUUGGCCUUGUAAUCUCUGCGAUGGGCAUAGAAAUAUGCUUGGGGCUGAAUUAACAGUCUCCCAUCGUACUCCUUUCAUCAAGUUUACGUUAUGGCCAUGUUUUGUUCAUUUCAUCAGGCCAUAAUCUAUUUGGCUCUCUACUUGUAACCAUUUUGACAGGUAGAGUCUCUUGUAUAUUGUCACCCUUGCUCAAUCCAGUUGUGUGAUACGAGAUUUCUUAUUGGUUACGUCUGGUAAUGGUGUUAUGACUAAAGCCGAUGAUGCCACGACGAAACCGAGGGCCUCCUGUGAAUGUACACACAUGGUUGCGCUACUUGGCACGCGCUGGUAUCACAGUUAGUAGUCAUAAUCCAUUAUGAGACUAUAUCAAUGUGUUAUCUUAGCACAAUCUGUUUUUGCUACGUGAGAUUCAUUUUUGGUGCCAGUUCGGUGAUGGUGUCAUGAUUAAGGACUUAUGGUGCCGCAGCGAAACUGAGAGCCCUUAUGAAUGUACACGCAAGGUUAUGCUGCUUGGUGCAUGCUGGUAUCGAUGUCUCUAGUCAUGAUCCGUUAUGGAACUACACUGAUGUGUGAUCUUCCGUAAACAUUUCCCUUGAAAUAAUUUCUAUGUUGUUUGUCAAUUGACCAAGCAACAUCUAUCAUCUCCGUUGGAUCAAAAGGGCAUACCACUUUCAUAUGUGGUCUCUUUUCUUUUGAUCUUGGUGGUGACUACUCAUACAAGUUCCUUUUACGUCCUUUGUGUAAAGGUGCAGCCUUGGAGCUCUUUAGUGUUGGAAAACAGCUGAUUAGCUCUCAAAAUGGAGAUUAGUUUUUCCCUACUGCUGAGAUGCAGGAGUUUGUUCAUUCGCUCUUUUAUUUAAUCCAUGUAUUCCCAAACCUAGUCCAUUCAUCUCGCACGAAGAAACGGGUGAACAACCUGACCAAAUGGACUUCUAUUCAAAUACAUGAUCUCUUGUUAACCAGAGUGAACUCUCGACCAUUGGACUGCCGGUGGUACUGAGAGGACUUGCUCGAUGUCAAAAGUAGUUCAACAAGUUGGCUUUACUAACUUGUAACUGCCCAAUGAACAAAGGUUGAGUUCAGAGAUCGUUUUAUCGAGUUGUCUAAACUCACUUUUGUACAACCCCUCUAAAGGAAGUUCUUACAAAGAUCAAGUUAAAACCGACUGAUAAUCACCUAAUCAUCGCUCUAGUCGUGCCUUGAUCUCCCCACGUGUGCUUUUCCAACAUGUGUGAUCGAGUCGAGCCAUGAAUAGUGCUGAAUAAAAUGGACUGAUUGCGAAGUCAACAUCAACGGAUCUUUUCGUUGAUAUUUUCCGAGUCUAUCAUUUUUCGUGGACUUGGAUUCUCUAGCUAGCCACGGGUCAACUGUGAUGUUAUUUGACAUUCACACCCGUCUCGUGUGCUAUGAACUUACUGUAACCACUUGUUGGUAAACCUCUUUCUGUGUGUUUUACCCAAGAUGGUGCAUCUGAUUCUGUUUGGGUAAAGUCGCAUAUCUACCGCUCGCUCAACAGACUCAAUUAGUACAGUGUCAUCAGAAACCGCAAACUGCACACAUGGGACCUUAUGUGUUCCUCUGGCAGACAGUGUCUCUAUUGGUGGAUAUCUCUAAAUUAGCUUAAGGCGAUACAUGUUAUGUCCACUAGAGAAACAACAUUCUGAGACACUCGUCUUCGCUUGAGACUGCCUUAUGAUUACCGCUGAUAUAAACAUGAGUUACAUACUUCUCUACUCUUAGAAGUCUUUCGUUUCGAAUCUCGGGAUGAGAUUCUUUUAAGGGGGGAGGGCUGUAACACCCCUGGUGUUUAUAUUCUGCUCGACAACGAGUAUGGAAUUAAGCACGUAAUCAGUGGAUAAAACGGAUGUUAAAUUUUAAACAUCUUCGUUUAUCGCGAUUUCAAUAUCGCAUUUGUUCCAUCUGUCGCGAGUGCGAGUCGUUUUUAUUUUCAUCUGUCCGGGCUCUUCCUAAAUUUUCGUGCUGUUCGGAACAUAUUUGUUCUAAAAAUUGGUGCGUCCGAUGAUUUUUUAAAAAAUUCAUCGCUCGCGUGAGUACGACUUCGGAAGCCCAAACCACUUGGACGAUUUUAUCCCGAGCCAAUUAAAUAGAACUCGUCGACUAAGAUUCUCGGUACGAAUAAUUAUGUCCCCACUCGUCAAUCGAUAAAAAUCGCGUCCGAGAAUGUAUAAUUGAGAUCUGAUUAUCACACAAAUUGCCCGUAACUAUGGAAUUAGAUUCUCUAUUUCGUAACUAGGAAAAGUGAAAUGCGUGGUCGAAAUGUGUUUUGGGACCUCUUAUUUAAUCUUUUUGAACUUUAAUCCUAAGAAACGAGAUAUUUUUGGUUUUUUUUAAAAAAAUCUUCUUUUCCUUAUCCUUGCGCCACUUCCUUCAGUCUAGGAUUUUUCCUGCCUUCGUUCUCAUCCGCGCGGGUGGGAAGGGAACAACAUUUGCCGUCGUUCUGGGAGAAAAUCCCACCGCCCCUCUCUCUGAUCCUUAUCUCUCUGCGCACGCAGGCUACUUAUCCCCAAUCAUCUUCUCCUUCCCUGCAGCGGCGUGGUCCUCUGCUCCUCCCCAGCGUCCCUCGCCGAGCACCCUCUGCCCCGGCUCCUCCUUCCUGGCCGCGCGUCCUGUGCCUGCUCGUGCCCAGCCUAUGCUUCCUCUCUACCGCCGCUCGCAAGGCUCCCUCCCUCAGCUUGCCGGUCGUGAGUCCCUGGUGCCGUGCGCGCGCGUCCCUGGGCCCAGUUUGGUGCUCACCCCGCCAUGGAGCUCGCGCUGACCGCGCCCUCUCCAGCCAUGGCGCGCUCGACCGGAGCUCUGCUCCCCUAGCUCCUCUGCGCGCGCCGUCUUCCAGCCGCCCUCGCCCCACCUCUCUCCUCUGCCGUCGUCUAGCUCGGACCCGCCCCCAGCCGCGAACACCCAUGGCGCCCAAGCCCAGCUUCUUUCUCCCUCAGCUCCCAUGGUGCUCUCUGUCUCCUGCUCGCUCUCUGGUGCUGCGUGUCUUCUCUGCUCGUCGGUGCUCGCCGCGGGAGACGGCGCUCGGUCGCCCAACCUUCCUGCUCCUCCCUGCUGUCGUGUCCCUCGGCGCCGGUCGCUUCUUCUUGCUAUUCCAUGCCGCGGCAAUCGCCCUGCUGCUCCAGUGCGCCCAGCCAAGCGAUUCUCUGCUCUGCGCGCGGUAUUUCUCCAGCAUGCCGCGCCCAGUCCCUGCUCCUUGUUUUUCUCUGCGACAUGGAGUCUCCUCGCCGCGCGGAUCCUCUCCUUCCUACCCUGCUCGGAUUGUGCCACGCUUGCUGUCGCGUUCGGCCUGCUUCGGAUCCGAAGUUGGUCGCCUCGGUGUGAAAUCGCCAUCGCGUCCGGGGUUUUGACAUGUCUCCUUGCUCGCCGUCGAACUUGAGUUCCCUGCUCAGCCUUUAGCGCUGGCGCGUCGCCGUGAUGUUACCGUCUCACCGUGAUUCCCUGAUGGUCCGUGUUUCCGCAUGUUCAAAUCGUCAAUCCCGUGUACCACCUGCUCGCUAAAUAGGAAACCAACAGUCUUCUCCCUGCUCCUCUGCACGUAGCCGCGUUCCUCUACCGGCCAUCAGUUGCCGCUGAACCACUGUCGGAUUAAUUUUCAGCUUCCUUCGCGCGGCUCUCUGGAGAUAAGCUCUUCAUCGGCUGUCGCUCCCAAUCUUCAGUUCGCCGACUGACUGUCGUGUUCCUUAUUUUCCCUCGUCGGUCGACCUCGUCGCGACUUAGUUCGUUCAUCAUGCUGGUCGCUAUCCCAUAAUGUACCUAUUAGCUCGAAUCCAGUCCAGCUCGUCGUCGCGUCGUUUGCCGUCGAGUCGUCAAACACGUCAUCCUCUGCUCAAACCCCACCUCACCAGCUCGCUCCCGACUUCAGCUGAAAGUCAUCAUCGUUCCGCGCGUCAGCGAGAAAUCCCAAGAAUCGGGUGAAGACGAAGCUAGCAGCGCGAUAUUCCCCAAGCGCUCGACAAAUUGCCUGGAUCGGAAAAUCGCUAUCGAUCUCGCGGAUUCGUGUCAGCUGUGGAAAUGGUAAGCUGAUAAAUUAUUCAGAAUAGUUCGAUCAAUGAAUAAAUUAAUGUGCUAGUGUGAUGCUUAUUAAGGUGCUCGAUAAAUUGCGUAAGUCACGAAACUCUCGUCGACUUGGCAGUUCUUGCGAUUAUCGAGCCAGGUUCAGUUAUAGCGAGUUAUUUCGCUAUUCCGGUCAAUUAGCUGAAUUAAUAUACCGAGUAGAAUAUUAGUAGGCAUGUGUGAUAAAGAAAUGUUUGAUUAAUUGUGGACAUGUAAAAUAUGUGAGGAGUAAAAUAAAAUUAAAAUAGUUCUUUGUGAACGAUGUAG
This 8175-nucleotide long non-coding RNA is filed under the name Zea mays. RNAcentral's name for it is "long non-coding RNA (ZMAY_LNC005265)". The record is from RNAcentral. Lineage: Eukaryota; Viridiplantae; Streptophyta; Magnoliopsida; Poales; Poaceae.